GGGCCGUUAGCUCAGUUGGCAGAGCACCUGACUUUUAAUCAGGUGGUCGCAGGUUCGAGGCCUGCACGGCUCACCA
Molecule: transfer RNA, 76 nt
Filed under: Chloroflexota bacterium
Lineage: Bacteria; Bacillati; Chloroflexota
Description: Chloroflexi bacterium (groundwater metagenome) tRNA-Lys
Rfam family: tRNA
About the family: Transfer RNA (tRNA) molecules are approximately 80 nucleotides in length. Their secondary structure includes four short double-helical elements and three loops (D, anti-codon, and T loops).
Source: RNAcentral